Molecule: long non-coding RNA, 4419 nt
Filed under: Brachypodium distachyon (stiff brome)
Lineage: Eukaryota; Viridiplantae; Streptophyta; Magnoliopsida; Poales; Poaceae
Description: long non-coding RNA (BDIS_LNC002131)
Source: RNAcentral
UCUGAAAUCUUGUGUUUUGAACUCUAAAUUAUUCUAAAAUGCCAAGAAUUUAUACAAAUACUUGUAAUAUGUGGCAAAAAUUACAUUGUCGCUUCUCUUUUGGAGUGAAGUGUGAAAAGGCACAUACUCUUCUCAUUUUGGACGAGCUGCUGAUGCACCUAUACACCGAAGGACCUGAGCAUAAGGAAAGAAGAAUGAAAGGGCUGAAGUGAAAAAAAAAGACCAACUUGCGAAAGAAGAAGAAAGGAGAAGGGCCUGGAUGUAAAAAUGUCAAAGGGAUUAAAUCCCUAAUUCCUGCUCUCGAUCCCCUUGAGCCUGGCACUUCCCCUUUCCCCUAUCUCCUGCGGCACCACCGGCCGCCGCCGCAGCCAGGCCAGCGUGGCGGCACGCCACCGAGCUAGCUGCAGCCCCUUCCCGAGAUCCACUACUACUCCUCCUCCAUACCGCCUCUGCCGGCAGCGGGCUGCACGAAUCAUCUCCAUCAACACCUGCUGCUCCCCCACGCACCGAAGAAAUCAAGAACCAAGGAACGCGAGCACGACGACCACCUGCAACAUCCUCCCCUUCUCCAAGUGCUGCUGCCCUCUCCUUUGGUUAAAUCCCCACCGAACUCUCUCUCUCUCUCUCCUACUUGUUGCUUGCUGUUUGUGUGUACAAGAACUGAGAAAGAACAUGCUGUUGAUCUUUGGAAAGUUAGCUGAGCCUUGCACUGUGUUAAACUCUCUCUUUAGCUUCUGGCCGAUGUGUGCACUUAAUUAUUGUUCUAUGUUAUAAUCUACUCUGAUAUUUGUGAAUGUGGCUGUGUGUAUACUUGUUGAUGUGUUUCGUGCAAUUUUCUAUCCCUAUCUAAAAACUUGCUUCUUCCCAGUCUUAUAUGUUUGCUGGUGAAAUUACUUUCUGUCAAUAUUGUUCUUUGUCUUUGCUUCUGCCCCUGUCUUUGAUGUAUGCUUGUCUUAGUGUUUUAGAUUCUAAAGUAAAUUGAAAAUACCAAAAAAAUAUUGCAGUCAUUCUGUACCUUGAAUCUCAUAAUUGUUUCUAUCCUUAUCUUGGAUAAUUGCUUGUGAUGUUUCGUGGUAGAUGAUCUUGUCUUGCUUUAUAGUGGGAAAUCUUCUCUUUGUUUGUUUUAAAUGCCAAAAUCCUUUCUUGUGAUCUAGCUUUAACCGAACAUUGUUGUCGCUGCCUAGUGCCUGUGGAGAAUCUCAACAAAAACUACUAUAUUUGCAUUGAUCAAAUUGGCGCCGUUGCCGGGGACUAGCAGCGAGCGAUUGUGUUAGGUUAUAGACUAGGUGUUUUUCCCCUUGUUUAGUAACCCCUAUUCUAGGUGUUUCUCUGUUUUCUAUUUGUUUCUUGUCAUAUUUAACAGGUUAUAUUAUCAUCUUGGUCAUGUCAUACUAUUCAGAUUAUUAUGGAUAUGCGAGCAGUAGCGGCAACAACAUAACAAGUCUUCAAGAUAAGAUAAAUGAGUUGUCUGGUCAGAAGCAAAUGUUAUCAAGUAAAAUAGAACAACACAAUUUGCAGCAAGGAAAUGGUCUUCAGGGAGGCCCUGCUAUUUUGAUCCUUAUUCUGUAGGCCAUCCCCAUACUUAUGUUGCUCCUGAAUGUCAUAUUUGUGGAUAUCAAGGUCAUAUUCCCGUCGAGUGUCAGCUGGGUAAAUCUUUCACCCCAAAUUGUUAUGAUAUGGGUUUUACUCCACAGCAUGAUCUGUACCACAACAAUUACCCCCUAGUGGGCUUGAUAACCCAAAUAUUACAUUUAGGAACAGCAGCCCUGAGGACUCAUCUUUUUCUUCUAGCUAUCCUAUGCAGGGAUUUAGGAAUGAAGAGGCGAAGUCACAAGCUCAGUUAAAUUUUGAAGCAGAACAACAAGCUUGGUUUGAAGAUUUUAUGAAGACGCAGCAAGAGAAGAUGGUUCAUCCACAAUCAGCUAUACUUUCAGAUGUAGAUCAAGAACAUGUGAUUUCAGAAAAUGAAGAAAAAGUUGCUCAGAUUUGGGAAGAAGAGAGAUCCGAGAUUAAAGAAGAUGAUGCACUAGAAGACAAGACACACAAUGAGCAAGAGCUGGACUAUGGAAGUAGCAAAGAUAUAGUGGCUGCCAAUCUUGAAGAUAUUGAAGAUAAAGAGGCUAAUGGAGUGGAAAAUGAAGAUAAUGAGGAGAUUCAAGUCGACAUGUCAAUUAUCAUUCAGGAGUGUGAUGAAACAGGUUUAUCAAACCCAAUUAAUGACAUUCUUCCUUAUGAAUUCCCUGCUACUACCUUGCAUUGCUUGAUACCAUCACUUAAGGUAGAACUGAAUUGUGACUUUCUUAAAUUUGAUGAUGCAUACUUUGUUAGUGACAAUACUGAAAUUCAUGAUGAUGACUCAUGUUAAUCACAUGCUAAAAUUCUGCUUAUGGAUGCAUGCUCUAAGAUUACUCGCGUCUCACAUGUGAAUAUUUAUCAUUCUCACCUUGUGCUUUAUUGCUACGCUUACAUCAUUGGUUUUUCAAUUGAUGACUUAGAGGGUGUUGGUCCUUUGACCUCUCCUAGGUGCUAUUCAUAUGAUAUAACUGAGUUUAAUGUGAUAUAUCAUCAUCGCCAUGUUUUUUAUCGAUAUGUGUAUACCAUUGGAUACUCCAUUGAUAAUUUGGAGGGGGUUGACCCUGUCUCUUUUAGUUCUUGUUGUGAGUGUAUUUCAGGCAUAUCAUAGGUGCUUUGUCAGCUUGGAAAAGUCCAGAUUCGAGUUGACAUUCCUUGGGACCCUGGUGGAUAUGAGGUUUUGAGAUGGUGUAGCAAAGAGAGUUGUAUCACACUUGAAAUAAAAUGCUGAAGCAGAUGGGAUCGAGGGAAUCAAGAAGAGUUGUCGAAUUCAGAAGAUGAGUGGCUUGGUCUGAAGGGAAGGUGUAGUCUGAUAAAAAUAUAGUUCAAAUCAUCUAAAACACCAGGUGACUUGUUUCCAGUAUAUGAGAUCAUGUUUCUUCCAUUGCCUGCAACUUUUCUCAAACUGAUCACUGCUAUUCGUUAUUGGUCACAUCAUUGCUUUCUUGUUGAAGCUGUUCUUCUUUGAGAAUCACAUAACAUUGCUUUAACUUGUUGUUUUCUUACCGAAAAAAAAAGCUGCAUUAAUUUUUUUUGUGAUUGCUAUACUCCAGGAUCUUCAUAAUGAAAAGAUACAUCAACUUUCAGUUUAAACACAACAGCUAUUGGUGCAUGUUCUUAUUGCAGUAAUCUAAAGUAUACUUCAGAUUUGUUUUAUUUUCUGCUCUCAUUCCUAAUAAAUUAAGAUUCUGACAAAUCUGAAUGUCUCCUUAUGCUAGUUAGUCCUGUAUCGACUCAAUUGAUUAGUUGCUAAGUAGUAGCUAUGAUCCCGGGAUCUGUAGCUUGUGAAAACAGUGCUAUUGAUCAUAGGUUUCUUUACAAAAUCUUUUAUCCUGUUGCAAUUUGAGCUUUCAAUAAGUGGCUUGUCCACAAGUCUUUAAAUCUCUGAAUAAGUGGCUCAGCCACAGUGUUAUCCUUGCAAAUAAGUGACUAUGUCACAAUUUGUUUCAAUAAGUGGCAGUCCACAUUGCCUUGCUCUGUUUGAAUAAGUGACUCUGUCACAUCUUUAGUUUGGAAUAAGUGGUGCAAGCACCACAAUUUAUUGCAUUUCUUGUUUCGUUUUUAUUUUUGAAAAACCAUGAACCGUGACUCGUUACUGGACUGCUGUCAUAGUUUGAAUUCAGUUUGCAAAAUCUUCUUUAUUAGUUAGGGGAGCCUAAAAUAGUUUAAAUCUUCAGUAUACUUUGAGUACAAUAAUCAGAACAUACAGCUUUACCUGUUAAGUUUAAACUGAAGUUUCUUGGGUCCUUUUUAUUGUGACGGAAAUCCUAGUUGGAGUGAUUACAUACCUCGUUUCAUGCUGUUGUCUCAUUUGCGAUCUGUUUCCUCAUUUGCAUAUCUCUUUGCUUGAGGACAAGCAAAAGUUUAAGUGUGGGGGUGUGAUAAGCAUCAUAUUUGCACUAUUUUCUGGCCAUAAUUAUAUCUGAAAUCUUGUGUUUUGAACUCUGAAUUAUUCUAAAAUGCCAAGAAUUUAUACAAAUACUUGUAAUAUGUGGCAAAAAUUACAUUGUAGCUUUUCUUUUGCAGUUAAGUGCGAAAAGGCACAUACUCUUCUCAUUUUGGACGAGCUGCUGAUGCACCUAUACACCGAAGGACUUGAGCAUAAGGAAAGAGGAAAGAAAGGGCUGAAGUGAAGAAAAAAAAGACCAACUUGCAAAAGAAGAAGAAAGGAGAAGGGCCUGGAUGUAAAAAUGUCAAAGGGAUUAAACCCUAACUCCUGCUCUCGAUCCCCUUGAGCCUGGCACUUCCCCUUUCCCCUAUCUCCUGCUGCACCACCGGCCGCCGCCGCAGCCAGGCUAGCGUGGCGGUGCACCACCGAGCUAGCUGCAGCCCCUUCCCGAUAUCCAC